GAUGAACGCUGGCGGCGUGCCUAAUACAUGCAAGUCGAGCGAACAGACGAGGAUCUUGCUCCUCUUACGUUAGCGGCGGACGGGUGAUUAACACGUGGAUAACCUGCCUUUAAGGCUGGGAUAACGUCGGGAAACCUGAUCUAAUACCGGAUAUCAUGUUGAACCUCAUGGUUCAACAGUGAAAAACGUUUUUGCUGUCCCUUGUAGGUGGUACCUCGUCGCAUUAGCUAGUUGGUAAGGUAACGGCUUACCAAGGCAACGAUGCGUAGCCGACCUGAGAGGGUGAUCGGCCACACUGGAACUGAGACACGGUCCAGACUCCUACGGGAGGCAGCAGUAGGGAAUCUUCCGCAAUGGGCGAAAGCCUGACGGAGCAACGCCGCGUGAGUGAAGAAGGUCUUCGGAUCGUAAAACACUGUUAUUAGGGAAGAAAAAAUGUGAAAGUAACUAUGCACGUCUUGACGGUACCUACUCAGAAAGCCACGGCUAACUACGUG
This 497-nucleotide ribosomal RNA is filed under the name uncultured bacterium. Its description in RNAcentral is "partial 16S ribosomal RNA". It matches the Rfam family "Bacterial small subunit ribosomal RNA", at positions 28 to 507 of the family's 1533-position model. The record is from RNAcentral.